GCAUAUCAAUAAGCGGAGGAAAAGAAACCAACAGGGAUUGCCCCAGUAACGGCGAGUGAAGCGGCAACAGCUCAAAUUUGAAAUCUGGCCCCUAGGGUCCGAGUUGUAAUUUGUAGAGGAUGCUUUUGGUGAGGUGCCGCCCGAGUUCCCUGGAACGGGACGCCGCAGAGGGUGAGAGCCCCGUCUGGCUGGCCACCGAGCCUAUGUAAAGCUCCUUCGACGAGUCGAGUAGUUUGGGAAUGCUGCUCAAAAUGGGAGGUAUAUGUCUUCUAAAGCUAAAUAUUGGCCAGAGACCGAUAGCGCACAAGUAGAGUGAUCGAAAGAUGAAAAGCACCUUGAAAAGAGGGUUAAACAGUACGUGAAAUUGUUGAAAGGGAAGCGCUUGUGACCAGACUUGGGCGCGGCGGAUCAUCCGGGGUUCUCCCCGGUGCACUUCGCCGCGUUCAGGCCAGCAUCAGUUCGGCGCGGGGGAAAAAGGCUUCGGGAACGUGGCUCCUCCGGGAGUGUUAUAGCCCGUUGCAUAAUACCCUGCGCUGGACUGAGGACCGCGCAUCUGCAAGGAUGCUGGCGUAAUGGUCACCAGCGACCCGUCUUGAAACACGGACCAAGGAGUCGUCUUCGUAUGCGAGUGUUCGGGUGUCAAACCCCUACGCGUAAUGAAAGUGAACGCAGGUGAGAGCUUCGGCGCAUCAUCGACCGAUCCUGAUGUUCUCGGAUGGAUUUGAGUAAGAGCAUACGGGGCCGGACCCGAAAGAAGGUGAACUAUGCCUGUAUAGGGUGAAGCCAGAGGAAACUCUGGUGGAGGCUCGCAGCGGUUCUGACGUGCAAAUCGAUCGUCAAAUAUGGGCAUGGGGGGCGAAAGACUAAUCGAACCUUCUAGUAGCUGGUUUCCGCCGA
This 897-nucleotide ribosomal RNA is filed under the name Trichoderma viridescens. Its description in RNAcentral is "LSU rRNA". It matches the Rfam family "Eukaryotic large subunit ribosomal RNA", at positions 38 to 964 of the family's 3401-position model. Lineage: Eukaryota; Fungi; Ascomycota; Sordariomycetes; Hypocreales; Hypocreaceae. The record is from RNAcentral.